This 498-nucleotide ribosomal RNA is filed under the name uncultured bacterium. RNAcentral's name for it is "partial 16S ribosomal RNA". It matches the Rfam family "Bacterial small subunit ribosomal RNA", at positions 30 to 523 of the family's 1533-position model. The record is from RNAcentral.
AUUGAACGCUGGCGGCAUGCUUUACACAUGCAAGUCGAACGGUAACAGGUCUUCGGACGCUGACGAGUGGCGAACGGGUGAGUAAUACAUCGGAACGUGCCCAGUCGUGGGGGAUAACUACUCGAAAGAGUAGCUAAUACCGCAUACGAUCUGAGGAUGAAAGCGGGGGACCUUCGGGCCUCGCGCGAUUGGAGCGGCCGAUGGCAGAUUAGGUAGUUGGUGGGAUAAAAGCUUACCAAGCCGACGAUCUGUAGCUGGUCUGAGAGGACGACCAGCCACACUGGGACUGAGACACGGCCCAGACUCCUACGGGAGGCAGCAGUGGGGAAUUUUGGACAAUGGGCGAAAGCCUGAUCCAGCAAUGCCGCGUGCAGGAUGAAGGCCUUCGGGUUGUAAACUGCUUUUGUACGGAACGAAAAAGUCUCCUCUAAUACAGGAGGCCCAUGACGGUACCGUAAGAAUAAGCACCGGCUAACUACGUGCCAGCAGCCGCAGUAA